GCACCGGCUAACUACCGUGCCAGCAGCCGCGGUAAUACGGAGGGUGCGAGCGUUAAUCGGAAUUACUGGGCGUAAAGCGCAUGCAGGCGGCCGUGUUAAGUCAGAUGUGAAAGACCCGGGGCGUUAACCUCGGAAUUGCAUUUGUAAACUGGCAGGCUAGAGUCUUGUAGAGGGGGGUAGGAAGUUUCAGGUGUAGCGGUGAAAUAGCGUAGAGAUCUGAAGGAAUACCAGUGGCGAAGGCGGCCCCCUCGGACAAAGACUGACGCUCAGAUGCGAAAGCGUGGGGAGCAAACAGGAUUAGAUACCCCUGGUAG
This 314-nucleotide ribosomal RNA is filed under the name uncultured bacterium. RNAcentral describes it as "bacterial SSU rRNA". It matches the Rfam family "Bacterial small subunit ribosomal RNA", at positions 490 to 793 of the family's 1533-position model. The record is from RNAcentral.